UUUUUUCGCAGAUUAACUUAGUAUUGGUUAUUAGUAAGAAGGUAUGCGAAGAAUAAGCACCGGCAAACUACGUGCCAGCACCCGCGGUAAUACGUUAGGGGUGCAAGCGUUGUCCGGAUUUACUGGGUUUAAAGGGUACGUAGGCGGCUGGCUAAGUCGGCGAUGANAUACCGGGAGCUUAACUCCGGUGCUGUUGCCGAUACUGGCGAGCUAGAGCGCGGAUGAGGUUGCUGGAAUAGACGGUGUANCGGUGAUAUGCGUAGAGAUCGUCUGGAACAUCGAUUGCGAAGGCAGGCAACUAGCCCGCGCCUGACGCUGAGGUACGAAAGCGUGGGGAGCGAACAGGAUUAGAUACCCUGGUAGUCCACGCCCUAAACGAUGCACACUCGUUGUUCGCCCACAUGAGGGCGAGCGGCUGAGCGAAAGCGUUAAGUGUGCCACCUGGGAAGUACGCUCGCAAGGGUGAAACUCAAAGGAAUUGACGGGGGCCCGCACAAGUGGUGGAGCAUGUGGUUUAAUUCGAUGAUACGCGAGGAACCUUACCGGGGCUAAAUCCCAGCUGCUACCUCCUGAAAGGGAGGGUUUCUUCGGAACGGUUGGGAAGGUGCUGCAUGGUUGUCGUCAGCUCGUGCCGUGAGGUGUUGGGUUAAGUCCCGCAACGAGCGCAACCCCUAUCGUUAGUUGCCAACGGUUCGGCCGGGGACUCUAGCGAGACUGCCUACGCAAGUAGUGAGGAAGGAGGGGACGACGUCAAAUCAUCAUGGCCCUUACGCCCCGGGCGACACACGUGCUACAAUGGGCCGUACAAUGGGCAGCGACCCCGCGAGGGGCAGCAAAUCCUAAAAGCGGCUCUCAGUUCGGAUUGUAGUCUGCAACUCGACUGCAUGAAGCUGGAAUCACUAGUAAUCGCACAUCAGCCAUGGUGCGGUGAUACGUUCCCGGGCAUUGUACACACCGCCCGUCAAGCCAUGGAAGUUGGGGGCGCACUGAAGUCGG
RNAcentral lists this ribosomal RNA (996 nucleotides) under uncultured organism. RNAcentral's name for it is "bacterial SSU rRNA". It matches the Rfam family "Bacterial small subunit ribosomal RNA", at positions 434 to 1430 of the family's 1533-position model. The record is from RNAcentral.